RNAcentral lists this transfer RNA (69 nucleotides) under Potamogale velox. RNAcentral describes it as "tRNA-Ala". It matches the Rfam family "tRNA". Rfam says of the family: Transfer RNA (tRNA) molecules are approximately 80 nucleotides in length. The record is from RNAcentral. Lineage: Eukaryota; Metazoa; Chordata; Mammalia; Afrosoricida; Tenrecidae.
GAGGAUUUAACUUAAUUAAAGUGUUUGAUUUGCGUUCAAUUUAUGUAAGUUUUAGUCUUGCAGUCCUUG